GGAUAGAGGCCUACCAUGGUGGUAACGGGUAACGGGGUGUUAGGGCACGACACCGGAGAGGGAGCCUGAGAAACGGCUACCACAUCCAAGGAUGGCAGCAGGCGCGCAAAUUACCCAAUCCCGACACGGGGAGGUAGUGACAAUAAAUAACAAUACGGGGUUCUUUCGGAUCUCGUAAUUGGAAUGAGUACAAUUUAGAUCUCUUAACGAGGAACAAUUGGAGGGCAAGUCUGGUGCCAGCAGCCGCAGUAAUUCCAGCUCCAAUAGCGUAUAUUAAAGUUGUUGCAGUUAAAAAGCUCGUAGUUGAAUUUCGGGGUUAGUAGGUUGGUCAUGCCUCUGGUAUGUACUGAUCUCACUGAUUCCUCCUUCCUUAUGAACCGUAAUGCCAUUAAUUUGGUGUUGCGGGGAAUUUGGACUGUUACUUUGAAAAAAUUAGAGUGUUUAAAGCAGGCUAACGCUUGAAUACAUUAGCAUGGAAUAAUGAAAUAGGACGUUCGAUCUUAUUUUGUUGGCUUCUAGGAUUGACGUAAUGAUUAAUAGGGAUAGUUGGGGGCAUUAGUAUUCAAUUGUCAGAGGUGAAAUUCUUGGAUUUAUUGAAGACUAACUACUGCGAAAGCAUUUGCCAAGGAUGUUUUCAUUAAUCAAGAACGAAAGUUAGGGGAUCGAAGACGAUCAGAUACCGUCGUAGUCUUAACCAUAAACUAUGCCGACUAGGGAUCGGAUGA
Molecule: ribosomal RNA, 725 nt
Filed under: uncultured fungus
Lineage: Eukaryota; Fungi
Description: SSU rRNA
Rfam family: Eukaryotic small subunit ribosomal RNA
Source: RNAcentral